AUUGAACGCUGGCGGCAGGCUUAACACAUGCAAGUCGAGCGGUAGCACAGGGGAGCUUGCUCCCUGGGUGACGAGCGGCGGACGGGUGAGUAAUGUCUGGGAAACUGCCUGAUGGAGGGGGAUAACUACUGGAAACGGUAGCGAAUACCGCAUAACGUCGCAAGACCAAAGAGGGGGACCUUCGGGCCUCUUGCCAUCAGAUGUGCCCAGAUGGGAUUAGCUAGUAGGUGGGGUAAUGGCUCACCUAGGCGACGAUCCCUAGCUGGUCUGAGAGGAUGACCAGCCACACUGGAACUGAGACACGGUCCAGACUCCUACGGGAGGCAGCAGUGGGGAAUAUUGCACAAUGGGCGCAAGCCUGAUGCAGCCAUGCCGCGUGUGUGAAGAAGGCCUUCGGGUUGUAAAGCACUUUCAGCGAGGAGGAAGGUGGUGAGCUUAAUACGUUCAUCAAUUGACGUUACUCGCAGAAGAAGCACCGGCUAACUCCGUG
This 490-nucleotide ribosomal RNA is filed under the name uncultured bacterium. RNAcentral's name for it is "partial 16S ribosomal RNA". It matches the Rfam family "Bacterial small subunit ribosomal RNA", at positions 30 to 507 of the family's 1533-position model. The record is from RNAcentral.